CUCGAAGUUGACAUGAUACCAUAUGCCAUGAUCAGAAAUCGUUUUGCAUUCUAGAACCUUCACAAGCUUAAAAUUCAAACGCUCUUGAUGAUUGUAAUAGGAUAAUGCAGCCUUAGCAAUCCUCUUCCACUCCCGCGCCAUCUGUUUCUCCCAUUUACGCUUUUCUUCAUGGGUCUCCAGCUUCUCUAGAUCAGCUUUAUCCAUUGGUUCAGUUCUUAAAA
This 221-nucleotide unclassified non-coding RNA is filed under the name Hevea brasiliensis (rubber tree). The record is from RNAcentral. Lineage: Eukaryota; Viridiplantae; Streptophyta; Magnoliopsida; Malpighiales; Euphorbiaceae.